This 563-nucleotide ribosomal RNA is filed under the name Dendropsophus microcephalus (yellow treefrog). RNAcentral describes it as "partial 16S ribosomal RNA". It matches the Rfam family "Bacterial large subunit ribosomal RNA", at positions 1829 to 2598 of the family's 2925-position model. Lineage: Eukaryota; Metazoa; Chordata; Amphibia; Anura; Hylidae. The record is from RNAcentral.
CGCCUCUUGGUUUUAUAUAAGAGGUCCAGCCUGCCCAGUGACUUAGUUCAACGGCCGCGGUAUCCUAACCGUGCGAAGGUAGCGUAAUCACUUGUUCUUUAAAUAAGGACUAGUAUGAAUGGCACCACGAGGGCUAUACUGUCUCCUUUCUCCAAUUAAUGAAACUGAUCUCCCCGUGAAGAAGCGGGGAUUAAAAUAUAAGACGAGAAGACCCUAUGGAGCUUCAAACAAAAAUAGCACUAGCCCUCCCCGUGCCUCAAAACAUAGUAGCUAGACAGGCUAGAAUGACUAUUAGUUUUAGGUUGGGGUGACCGCGGAGCAUAAAUCAACCUCCACAUUGAACGGAACCUUCCUUAGCCAAAAGCUACGACUUUAAGCAACAUUAAACUGACAUUAAUUGACCCAAUAUUUUGAUCAACGAACCAAGUUACCCUAGGGAUAACAGCGCAAUCCAUUUCAAGAGCUCCUAUCGACAAAUGGGUUUACGACCUCGAUGUUGGAUCAGGGUAUCCCGGUGGUGCAGCCGCUACUAAAGGUUCGUUUGUUCAACGAUUAAAACCCUA